RNAcentral lists this ribosomal RNA (497 nucleotides) under uncultured bacterium. RNAcentral describes it as "partial 16S ribosomal RNA". It matches the Rfam family "Bacterial small subunit ribosomal RNA", at positions 28 to 507 of the family's 1533-position model. The record is from RNAcentral.
GAUGAACGCUGGCGGCGUGCCUAACACAUGCAAGUCGAGCGAAAGGACGGUAAGCUCGCUUUUCUGCUGUUGGCGACGGGCGGGUGAGUAACGCGUGGAUAACAUUCCUCUUAGACUGGGGUAACUUCGGGGGACAGGAGCUGCUACUAGCUCAUAUUUUGAACCGGAUGGUUCAAAAGUGAUUGAGGGUUUUGCUGAUACUAAUAGCUGGAUCCGGGUUGGAUUAGCUAGUUGGUAAGGUAACGGCCUACCAAGGCGACGAUGCAUAGCUGACCUGAGAGGGUGAUCGGCCACACUGGAACUGAGACACGGUCCAGACUCCUACGGGAGGCAGCAGUAGGGAAUCUUGCGCAAUGGGCGAAAGCCUGACGGAGCCACGCCGCGUGGGUGAUGAAGGUCUUCGGGUCGUAAAACUCUUUUAUUAGGGAAGAACAUAUGCGUAAGUAACUGUGCAUAUCUUGACGGUACCUAAACAGAAAGCCCCGGCUAACUACGUG